Molecule: ribosomal RNA, 274 nt
Filed under: uncultured bacterium
Lineage: Bacteria
Description: partial 16S ribosomal RNA
Rfam family: Bacterial small subunit ribosomal RNA
Source: RNAcentral
AUACAGGGGGUGCAAGCGUUAAUCGGAUUUACUGGGCGUAAAGCGCGCGUAGGCGGCUAAUUAAGUCAAAUGUGAAAUCCCCGAGCUUAACUUGGGAAUUGCAUUCGAUACUGGUUAGCUAGAGUGUGGGAGAGGAUGGUAGAAUUCCAGGUGUAGCGGUGAAAUGCGUAGAGAUCUGGAGGAAUACCGAUGGCGAAGGCAGCCAUCUGGCCUAACACUGACGCUGAGGUGCGAAAGCAUGGGGAGCAAACAGGAUUAGAAACCCCAGUAGUCC